RNAcentral lists this unclassified non-coding RNA (304 nucleotides) under uncultured Pleosporales. Its description in RNAcentral is "partial contains 5.8S ribosomal RNA, internal transcribed spacer 2, and large subunit ribosomal RNA". The stretch from base 1 to 102 matches the Rfam family "5.8S ribosomal RNA", at positions 53 to 154 of the family's 154-position model. Lineage: Eukaryota; Fungi; Ascomycota; Dothideomycetes; Pleosporales. The record is from RNAcentral.
AUGCGAUAAGUAGUGUGAAUUGCAGAAUUCAGUGAAUCAUCGAAUCUUUGAACGCACAUUGCGCCCCUUGGUAUUCCAUGGGGCAUGCCUGUUCGAGCGUCAUUUACACCCUCAAGCUUUGCUUGGUGUUGGGCGUCUUGUCUACGGACUCGCCCCAAAGGUAUUUGGCAGCGGUCCUGCCGGGCCUUCCUAAUUGCGCAGCACUGUUCGCGCUACUUGGAGCCUGUUUGCAGGAUUCAGCAUCCAUCAAGCCCCUCUUCUUUAACUUGACCUCGAAUCAGGUAGGGAUACCCGCUGAACUUAA